Molecule: ribosomal RNA, 492 nt
Filed under: uncultured bacterium
Lineage: Bacteria
Description: partial 16S ribosomal RNA
Rfam family: Bacterial small subunit ribosomal RNA
Source: RNAcentral
AGUGAACGCUGGCGGUAGGCCUAACACAUGCAAGUCGAACGGCAGCACAGUAAGAGCUUGCUCUUAUGGGUGGCGAGUGGCGUACGGGUGAGGUAUACAUCGGACUCUACUUUUUCGUGGAGGAUAAAGUAGGGAAACUUACGCUAAUACAGCAUACGACCUUCGGGUGAAAGCAGGGGAUCUUCGGACCUUGCGCGAUUGAAUGAGCCGAUGUUGGAUUAGCUAGUUGGCGGGGUAAAGGCCCACCAAGGAGCGGAUCGGUAGCUGGUCUGAGAGGAUGAUCAGCCACACUGGAACGUAAACACGUUCCAGACUCCUACGGUAGGCAGCAGUGUGGAAUAUUGGACAGUGGUGGCAAGUCUGAUCCAGCCAUAGCGGGUGGGUGAAGAAAGCCUUCGGGUUGGAAAGCCCUUUUGUUGGGAAAGAAAAGCAGCAGGUUAAUACCCCGCUGUACUGACGGUACCCAAAGAAUAAGCACCGGCUAACUUCGUG